This 533-nucleotide ribosomal RNA is filed under the name Aspergillus japonicus. Its description in RNAcentral is "eukaryotic LSU rRNA". It matches the Rfam family "Eukaryotic large subunit ribosomal RNA", at positions 107 to 655 of the family's 3401-position model. The record is from RNAcentral. Lineage: Eukaryota; Fungi; Ascomycota; Eurotiomycetes; Eurotiales; Aspergillaceae.
GCUCAAAUUUGAAAGCUGGCCCCUCCGGGGCCCGCGUUGUAAUUUGCAGAGGAUGCUUUGGGUGCGGCCCCCGUCUAAGUGCCCUGGAACGGGCCGUCAGAGAGGGUGAGAAUCCCGUCUUGGGCGGGGUGUCCGUGCCCGUGUAAAGCUCCUUCGACGAGUCGAGUUGUUUGGGAAUGCAGCUCUAAAUGGGUGGUAAAUUUCAUCUAAAGCUAAAUACUGGCCGGAGACCGAUAGCGCACAAGUAGAGUGAUCGAAAGAUGAAAAGCACUUUGAAAAGAGAGUUAAACAGCACGUGAAAUUGUUGAAAGGGAAGCGCUUGCGACCAGACUCGCCCUCGGGGUUCAGCCGGCACUCGUGCCGGUGUACUUCCCCGGGGGCGGGCCAGCGUCAGCUUGGGCGGCCGGUCAAAGGCCUCCGGAAUGUAGUGCCCCCCGGGGCACCUUAUAGCCGGAGGUGCAAUGCGGCCAGCCUGGGCUGAGGAACGCGCUUCGGCACGGACGCUGGCAUAAUGGUCGCAAACGACCCGUCUU